This is a non-coding RNA of Myotis davidii, 106 nucleotides long. NCBI's taxonomy places the organism in Eukaryota, Metazoa, Chordata, Mammalia, Chiroptera, Vespertilionidae. The record is from Rfam.
GUGCUCGCUUUGGCAGUACAUAUACCAAAGUUGGAAUGAUACAGAGAAGACUAGGAUGGCCCCUGCAAAGGAUGACACAUAAAUUCGUGAAGCGUUCCAUAUUUAA